ACGCUCGACACCUACGGGAUGCAGCAGUGAGGAAUAUUGGUCAAUGGGCGCUAGCCUGAACCAGCCAAGUAGCGUGAAGGAUGAAGGCUCUAUGGGUCGUAAACUUCUUUUAUAUAAGAAUAAAGUGCAGUAUGUAUACUGUUUUGUAUGUAUUAUAUGAAUAAGGAUCGGCUAACUCCGUGUCAGCAGCCGCGGUAAUCUGAGCGGGCUGGCAAGGC
Molecule: ribosomal RNA, 218 nt
Filed under: uncultured bacterium
Lineage: Bacteria
Description: partial 16S ribosomal RNA
Rfam family: Bacterial small subunit ribosomal RNA
Source: RNAcentral